Molecule: ribosomal RNA, 253 nt
Filed under: uncultured Rikenellaceae bacterium
Lineage: Bacteria; Pseudomonadati; Bacteroidota; Bacteroidia; Bacteroidales; Rikenellaceae
Description: partial 16S ribosomal RNA
Rfam family: Bacterial small subunit ribosomal RNA
Source: RNAcentral
UACGUAUGGGGCAAGCGUUAUCCGGAUUUAUUGGGUUUAAAGGGUGCGUAGGCGGUCGGAUAAGUUAGAGGUGAAAUCCCGAGGCUCAACUUCGGAAUUGCCUCUGAUACUGUUCGGCUAGAGAGUAGAUGCGGUAGGCGGAAUGUAUGGUGUAGCGGUGAAAUGCGUAGAGAUCAUACAGAACACCGAUUGCGAAGGCAGCUUACCAAACUAUAUCUGACGUUGAGGCACGAAAGCGUGGGGAGCAAACAGG